GUGCCAGCAGCCGCGGUAAUUCCAGCUCCAAUAGCGUAUAUUAAAGUUGUUGCAGUUAAAAAGCUCGUAGUUGGAUCUCGGGUCCAGGCUUGUGGUCCGGCGCUGGCCGGUUACUACUCGUCCUGACCUACCUCCCGGUUUGCCCUUGGUGCUCUUGACUGAGUGUCUCGGGUGGCCGGAACGUUUACUUUGAAAAAAUUAGAGUGUUCAAAGCAGGCAAUUCGCCUGAAUAAUGGUGCAUGGAAUAAUGGAAUAGGACCUCGGUUCUAUUUUGCUGGUUUUCGGAGCUUGAGGUAAUGAUUGAGAGGGACUGACGGGGGCAUUCGUAUUACGGUGUUAGAGGUGAAAUUCUUGGAUCGCCGUAAGACGAACUACUGCGAAAGCAUUUGCCAAGAAUGUUUUCAUUAGUCAAGAACGAAAGUCAGAGGUUCGAA
This 434-nucleotide ribosomal RNA is filed under the name Modiolus modiolus (northern horsemussel). RNAcentral's name for it is "SSU rRNA". It matches the Rfam family "Eukaryotic small subunit ribosomal RNA", at positions 564 to 1002 of the family's 1831-position model. The record is from RNAcentral. Lineage: Eukaryota; Metazoa; Mollusca; Bivalvia; Mytilida; Modiolidae.